RNAcentral lists this transfer RNA (73 nucleotides) under Candidatus Bathyarchaeota archaeon. Its description in RNAcentral is "tRNA-Val". It matches the Rfam family "tRNA". Rfam says of the family: Transfer RNA (tRNA) molecules are approximately 80 nucleotides in length. The record is from RNAcentral. Lineage: Archaea; Thermoproteati; Candidatus Bathyarchaeota.
GGGCGGCUAGCUCAAUGGUUAGAGCGUCUGGUUUACAUCCAGAAGGUUAUAGGUUCGAGUCCUAUGUCGCCCA